This 74-nucleotide transfer RNA is filed under the name Acaryochloridaceae cyanobacterium RU_4_10. RNAcentral's name for it is "tRNA-Arg". It matches the Rfam family "tRNA". Rfam says of the family: Transfer RNA (tRNA) molecules are approximately 80 nucleotides in length. Their secondary structure includes four short double-helical elements and three loops (D, anti-codon, and T loops). RNAcentral also lists the same sequence under 1 other name. The record is from RNAcentral. Lineage: Bacteria; Bacillati; Cyanobacteriota; Cyanophyceae; Acaryochloridales; Acaryochloridaceae.
GGGGCUGUAGCUCAGAUGGAUAGAGCGAUCGCCUCCUAAGCGAUAGGUCGAGGGUUCGAGUCCCGCCAGUCCCG